UAGCUCAGUUGGUAGAGUGCUUGCCUUGAAUGCACAAGGUCCUGGGUUCAAUCCCCAG
This 58-nucleotide transfer RNA is filed under the name Marmota marmota marmota (Alpine marmot). It matches the Rfam family "tRNA", at positions 8 to 63 of the family's 71-position model. Rfam says of the family: Transfer RNA (tRNA) molecules are approximately 80 nucleotides in length. Their secondary structure includes four short double-helical elements and three loops (D, anti-codon, and T loops). The record is from Rfam by way of RNAcentral. RNAcentral also lists the same sequence under 2 other names. Lineage: Eukaryota; Metazoa; Chordata; Mammalia; Rodentia; Sciuridae.